Molecule: ribosomal RNA, 483 nt
Filed under: uncultured bacterium
Lineage: Bacteria
Description: bacterial SSU rRNA
Rfam family: Bacterial small subunit ribosomal RNA
Source: RNAcentral
UUGAACGCUGGCGGCAUGCCUUACACAUGCAAGUCGAACGGCAGCGCGGACUUCGGUCUGGCGGCGAGUGGCGAACGGGUGAGUAAUGUAUCGGAACGUACCAUUCAGUGGGGGAUAACGCAGCGAAAGUUGCGCUAAUACCGCAUAUUCUGUGCGCAGGAAAGCAGGGGAUCGCAAGACCUUGCGCUGAUUGAGCGGCCGAUAUCAGAUUAGCUAGUUGGUGAGGUAAAGGCUCACCAAGGCGACGAUCUGUAGCGGGUCUGAGAGGAUGAUCCGCCACACUGGAACUGAGACACGGUCCAGACUCCUACGGGAGGCAGCAGUGGGGAAUUUUGGACAAUGGGCGCAAGCCUGAUCCAGCCAUGCCGCGUGAGUGAAGAAGGCCUUCGGGUUGUAAAGCUCUUUCGGCCGGGAAGAAAUCGCAUGGGUUAAUACCCUGUGCGGAUGACGGUACCGGCAUAAGAAGCACCGGCUAACUACGUG